Gadus macrocephalus (Pacific cod) is the source of this 1727-nucleotide long non-coding RNA. RefSeq lists it as uncharacterized. The transcript is spliced from 2 exons. Lineage: Eukaryota; Metazoa; Chordata; Actinopteri; Gadiformes; Gadidae. The record is from RefSeq and is a predicted model, not a curated record.
GAAUCAUCACCCCAUGCGAGGCGAAGCUUUGCUACAAUAGUUCUUUUGUAUGUCGUUAGCCUCACAGCAUAAUUUUCUAAGUCAUAUAUUAAGGUUAAUCUUUUAUUUAGCGUGAAAAAUGCCGGUGUCAAAUAGAUGAGUUAGGUAGAUGGUGAUUAUGAAAGAGAGAAAGAGUGGUCCUUCUGGCCCGACGUCCCCCGAGUCCAUGGUUACUACGGUAACCAUGGUGGCGGCUGGUGCUGUGAGGGUGUGCUGUGAUCUUCUGGAGGCCUUUCCGUUUUCGUGAACGUCCAUUCUAAGGCCGGAAGAGAAAAAGUAACAAAUGAGAUGGUUGGGAGAACAAAUGGGAGAUUUUUUUGUAUAAACUAUCACUUUUAACGGGUGUACCACAUACUAGAUCAAUGACCCUUGACCUAAACAGCUGCAGAAUGACCAUGAUGUUUAUACUGCACAUUGGAUAAUGUUUCACUUUGACAUUGAAUAGAAAAACACGCGUCUACACCAAAGUCAAACUCAACCCUCUGCAAAAGUGAUAAAGAAUAUAUAGAACAGAUGGACCCAGUAGCAGGAAAUGAUUUGUACGAUCACUUGGCGGAUGCUUUAUCCAAAGCGCCUUAACAAUAAUGUAACCGUAAUAAUUACAGAUAAAUGAGUGACUGAAACAUUAGAUUUAAGAUGCCCCUGUUCUAUGCAGUGGCGGCCCCAGAGGGAAUUGAACCCUGGCACUAGUUGAACAACCCAGGAUCAGAUUAAAAGACUAAACCAUUUUCUAUUGAGUACCAAAAGUAAAUAAAAAAAUAAAUAUCAUUGUCCCUUUGAACAAUGUCUGUUCAAAGGGACCAAGUCCAAACUAAAUCCAAUUAAUAAAAAAUCAGCAAAACAUAUUAAUUUUUAACCUUUAAUAAAAGGUACAAUUCACUACAGCAAACACAACUGAAUGGACACUACAUUUACAGAUUCAAUGCAAUUUACAAAUUACUGUAUGUGUGAGAAUGCAUGUAUGUUAUGAACCUUUAAAAGUGUUCAUUCAGUAACGCAGAACUAAGUGCAGACCUACAAGCCGAUUCAGACACAAGGACACAAGUCUACUGUUGCUCUCUACAAAACAAAAAACUUUGAUUAGAAACCAAAGUAGGAAAACGGAGAAGAUCCAACAACGUCUGAGCUAGUCUGUUGUGUUUGUAUCCCGCGUGCCCGCGUGGGGAAACGACGGCGGGAGGAGAACGCUCCCGACGUCCCCCGAGUCCCCCGCCUCCGUGCAGCGUGUGGUCCAUGGAUACCACGGUAACCACGGUGGCGGCUGGUGCCGCUGUGAGGGUGUGCUGUGAUCGUCUAGACUAGAGGCCUUGCCGCUUUGGUGGACGACCAUUCUAAAGGCCAGAGGAGAAAAGGUUUCCCUCUGCUCCAGGAGGGGUUAUCCCCUGGCAGGACGGUCCCAUCGACCCAUCUCCACAUCCCUUCACUGGCCUCAUCUGUCGCUCCGAGCCAGAUGGUCCCGCCGUAUCCGCUAAUGAAGUCCAUCUCCUCUUUACUGUCCACCACCACCAGAUCUGCUCCGAGGGAAACACAGAGCUCCCUGCUCCUAUUCCAGGAUUCCCACUGUCUGGAAAGCCGGUAACAUUUACAACCAAACUUAGUCCAACCACCUGGACAGUCCUGUUUACAAAGCAGUGAGUCUCUCUGCUCUGUCACUUUCUUCAGCCUUUGGACAAGUUGCUCCACCUCCA